UCUUCGGUCUUCUUGCCCAGGGGGGGUAA
Molecule: small RNA, 29 nt
Filed under: Bombyx mori (domestic silkworm)
Lineage: Eukaryota; Metazoa; Arthropoda; Insecta; Lepidoptera; Bombycidae
Description: ovarian small RNA-30133
Source: RNAcentral